AAACCAACAGGGAUUGCCUUAGUAGCGGCGAGUGAAGCGGCAAAAGCUCAAAUUUGAAAUCUGGCUCUUUCAGAGUCCGAGUUGUAAUUUGAAGAAGGUAUCUUUGGGUCUGGCUCUUGUCUAUGUUUCUUGGAACAGAACGUCACAGAGGGUGAGAAUCCCGUGCGAUGAGAUGAUCCAGGCCUAUGUAAAGUUCCUUCGAAGAGUCGAGUUGUUUGGGAAUGCAGCUCUAAGUGGGUGGUAAAUUCCAUCUAAAGCUAAAUAUUGGCGAGAGACCGAUAGCGAACAAGUACAGUGAUGGAAAGAUGAAAAGAACUUUGAAAAGAGAGUGAAAAAGUACGUGAAAUUGUUGAAAGGGAAGGGCUUGAGAUCAGACUUGGUAUUUUGUAUGUUACUUCUUCGGGGGUGGCCUCUACAGUUUAUCGGGCCAGCAUCAGUUUGGGCGGUAGGAGAAUUGCGUUGGAAUGUGGCACGGCUUCGGUUGUGUGUUAUAGCCUUCGUCGAUACUGCCAGCCUAGACUGAGGACUGCGGUUUAUACCUAGGAUGUUGGCAUAAUGAUCUUAAGUCGCCCGUCU
RNAcentral lists this ribosomal RNA (576 nucleotides) under Candida tropicalis. RNAcentral's name for it is "eukaryotic LSU rRNA". It matches the Rfam family "Eukaryotic large subunit ribosomal RNA", at positions 62 to 654 of the family's 3401-position model. The record is from RNAcentral. Lineage: Eukaryota; Fungi; Ascomycota; Pichiomycetes; Serinales; Debaryomycetaceae.